Molecule: ribosomal RNA, 484 nt
Filed under: uncultured bacterium
Lineage: Bacteria
Description: partial 16S ribosomal RNA
Rfam family: Bacterial small subunit ribosomal RNA
Source: RNAcentral
AUUGAACGCUGGCGGCAUGCCUUACACAUGCAAGUCGAACGGUAACGGGUCCUUCGGGAUGCCGACGAGUGGCGAACGGGUGAGUAAUAUAUCGGAACGUGCCCAGUAGUGGGGGAUAACUGCUCGAAAGAGCAGCUAAUACCGCAUACGACCUGAGGGUGAAAGGGGGGGAUCGCAAGACCUCUCGCUAUUGGAGCGGCCGAUAUCAGAUUAGCUAGUUGGUGGGGUAAAGGCCUACCAAGGCAACGAUCUGUAGUUGGUCUGAGAGGACGACCAGCCACACUGGGACUGAGACACGGCCCAGACUCCUACGGGAGGCAGCAGUGGGGAAUUUUGGACAAUGGGCGCAAGCCUGAUCCAGCAAUGCCGCGUGCAGGAAGAAGGCCUUCGGGUUGUAAACUGCUUUUGACAGGGAAGAAAUCUUCUGGGCUAAUACCCCGGGAGGAUGACGGUACCUGAAGAAUAAGCACCGGCUAACUACGUG